GAUCCUGCCGGAGGCCAUUGCUAUCGGAGUCCGAUUUAGCCAUGCUAGUUGUGCGGGUUUAGACCCGCAGCGGAAAGCUCAGUAACACGUGGCCAAGCUACCCUGUGGACGGGAAUACUCUCGGGAAACUGAGGCUAAUCCCCGAUAACGCUAUGCUCCUGGAAGGGGCAAAGCCGGAAACGCUCCGGCGCCACAGGAUGCGGCUGCGGUCGAUUAGGUAGACGGUGGGGUAACGGCCCACCGUGCCCAUAAUCGGUACGGGUUGUGAGAGCAAGAGCCCGGAGACGGAAUCUGAGACAAGAUUCCGGGCCCUACGGGGCGCAGCAGGCGCGAAACCUUUACACUGUACGAAAGUGCGAUAAGGGGACUCCGAGUGUGAAGGCAUAGAGCCUUCACUUUUGUACACCGUAAGGUGGUGCACGAAUAAGGACUGGGCAAGACCGGUGCCAGCCGCCGCGGUAAUACCGGCAGUCCGAGUGAUGGCCGAUCUUAUUGGGCCUAAAGCGUCCGUAGCUGGCUGAACAAGUCCGUUGGGAAAUCUGUCCGCUUAACGGGCAGGCGUCCAGCGGAAACUGUUCAGCUUGGGACCGGAAGACCUGAGGGGUACGUCUGGGGUAGGAGUGAAAUCCUGUAAUCCUGGACGGACCGCCGGUGGCGAAAGCGCCUCAGGAGAACGGAUCCGACAGUGAGGGACGAAAGCUAGGGUCUCGAACCGGAUUAAAUACCC
Molecule: ribosomal RNA, 727 nt
Filed under: uncultured haloarchaeon
Lineage: Archaea; Methanobacteriati; Methanobacteriota; Halobacteria; Halobacteriales; Halobacteriaceae
Description: bacterial SSU rRNA
Rfam family: Archaeal small subunit ribosomal RNA
Source: RNAcentral